This 335-nucleotide long non-coding RNA is filed under the name Rattus norvegicus (Norway rat). RNAcentral describes it as "long non-coding RNA NONRATT023877". Lineage: Eukaryota; Metazoa; Chordata; Mammalia; Rodentia; Muridae. The record is from RNAcentral.
GGCGCCUCAGCCUCGUGCCAGCUCUGCACUCUCCCUGAAGAGAAUGUUAGAUGGUUACAGUGAUUGCGUGUUCACUGCCUUCCUGCGCAGAACUCGAGCGUAGUUUAAUGGACCUUUAUUUCUUCAUUUGCAGUCGAUCUCCACCACUGGGACUGAGCUCCACAGAGGACCGGAAUCCUGGGUCUGACAUUGAGGUAGAAUUCAGGGCUUUUGCAUUUUCUAAGGAUCUCAAUGAAGCUUGCGUUCUGAAGGCCAGCGUCACGGUCAGAUUUGUAGCAGAGAAAGGGGCAAAUCAGCAUUCAUCAUGUGCAGGCGUGAAUAAAUGAAUGAAUGAA